Molecule: long non-coding RNA, 506 nt
Filed under: Ananas comosus (pineapple)
Lineage: Eukaryota; Viridiplantae; Streptophyta; Magnoliopsida; Poales; Bromeliaceae
Description: long non-coding RNA (ACOM_LNC042598)
Source: RNAcentral
AGUCAUUAAUUUUAAGGGUUAAUUACAUACUGCUCUCUCUAUAAACAUAUCCAAUAGCAGAUAUAUCUCUGUAAAGUUCAACUUUUUAUCUUUAAUCCUACAAAGAUUUUAACGUGUUCAAAUAUACCUCUGCAUGUAGGAUCCGUUAGAAAAAUAUAGUUAAUCAUUAGAAAAAUACUUAACCUGAUUAAUGAAUGAGUGAAAUUGACCUUUUUACCGCUUUUAUAUUAUUAGAUAAAAUAUUUUUUUGAGAGGACAUUUCUUCAUAUAUAGAUCUAACAAAUAGGAGCUUUUGAAGAGAUAUAUUUAUAACGGUAAAAAUAUCACUUCACUUAUCUACUAUUAAAAAAUAAAUAGUACUCCAACGCUAACAAAUUCCAGAUGAGCAAAUAUAAAUAUCGCUGGGCUUUUGUAGAAAUAAAAAUAAAAAGUUGAACUUUGUGGUGAUAUAUUUGCUAUUCGAUAUGUUUAUAAGGAGCUGUAUGCAAUUAACCCUAAUUUUAAAU